RNAcentral lists this ribosomal RNA (393 nucleotides) under uncultured bacterium. Its description in RNAcentral is "partial 16S ribosomal RNA". It matches the Rfam family "Bacterial small subunit ribosomal RNA", at positions 523 to 918 of the family's 1533-position model. The record is from RNAcentral.
AUACGGAGGAUGCAAGCGUUAUCCGGAUUUAUUGGGCUUAAAGGGUGCGUAGGCGGGACUGUAAGUCAGGUGUGAAAUACUGCAGCUUCACUGUAGCAUUGACUUUGAAACUGCCGGUUUUGGGUCCAGUUGGGGGAGGCGGAAUGUGGGGGGAAGCGGUGAAAUGCAUAGAUAUACCACAGAACGCCGAUUGCGAAGGCAGCUUACUAAGCUGUUACUGACGCUGAGGCACGAAAGCGUGGGGAUCAAACAGGAUUAGAUACCCUGGUAGUCCACGCUGUAAACGAUGAUUACUGGUUGUUAGCGAUAUAUAGCUAGUGACUGAGCGAAAGCAUUAAGUAAUCCGCCUGGGGAGUACGGCGGCAACGAUGAAACUCAAAUGAAUUGGCGGGG